GAUGAACGCUGGCGGCGUGCCUAAUACAUGCAAGUCGAGCGAACGGACGAGAAGCUUGCUUCUCUGAUGUUAGCGGCGGACGGGUGAGUAACACGUGGAUAACCUACCUAUAAGACUGGGAUAACUUCGGGAAACCGGAGCUAAUACCGGAUAAUAUUUUGAACCGCAUGGUUCAAAAGUGAAAGACGGUCUUGCUGUCACUUAUAGCUGGAUCCGCGCUGCAUUAGCUAGUUGGUAAGGUAACGGCUUACCAAGGCAACGAUGCAUAGCCGACCUGAGAGGGUGAUCGGCCCCACUGGAACUGAGACACGGUCCAGACUCCUACGGGAGGCAGCAGUAGGGAAUCUUCCGCAAUGGGCGAAAGCCUGACGGAGCAACGCCGCGUGAGUGAUGAAGGUCUUCGGAUCGUAAAACUCUGUUAUUAGGGAAGAACAUAUGUGUAAGUAACUGUGCACAUCUUGACGGUACCUAAUCAGAAAGCCACGGCUAACUACGUG
RNAcentral lists this ribosomal RNA (497 nucleotides) under uncultured bacterium. Its description in RNAcentral is "partial 16S ribosomal RNA". It matches the Rfam family "Bacterial small subunit ribosomal RNA", at positions 28 to 507 of the family's 1533-position model. The record is from RNAcentral.